Molecule: ribosomal RNA, 274 nt
Filed under: uncultured bacterium
Lineage: Bacteria
Description: partial 16S ribosomal RNA
Rfam family: Bacterial small subunit ribosomal RNA
Source: RNAcentral
AUACGGAGGGUGCAAGCGUUGUUCGGAAUUACUGGGCGUAAAGCACGCGUAGGCGGUCUGUUAUGUCAGAUGUGAAAGUCCUCGGCUCAACCGGGGAAGUGCAUUUGAAACUGGCAGACUUGAGUACUGGAGGGGGUGGUGGAAUUCCCGGUGUAGAGGUGAAAUUCGUAGAUAUCGGGAGGAAUACCGGUGGCGAAGGCGACCACCUGGCCAGAUACUGACGCUGAGGUGCGAAAGCGUGGGGAGCAAACAGGAUUAGAUACCCCGGUAGUCC